AUGCAAGUUCCCUACCAAAUUCUAUAUGGAAUAGCUGCAUCAACUAAACAAAGUAAUGGAACCAGUAUGUGUUCUACCUCCCCCUCCUCUCAAUGGAACAGGAUAAUGAAAUCGAAGCUCAGAGAGAGUAAGGGACUUGCCCCUGGUCACAAAGAUGGCAUACCCUAGGAAGACUUCUUCCUCAUAUCUCUAAGAAUGUCUGAAUUCCCUAAAUAAGCUUUUUUUUUCAGAGUUUACUUCUCUGUCUUCUUUGUGGAAGAGGCAUGAAGAAAGAGAGGACUUACAAGACAAGACAAGCAUGCAAGAAACAAAGCUGGGGACCUGAUCUGCUAAUCAAGGUGAAGAUUCCAAAUGGAAUGUUCCCAGGAGAGGCAGUUGGAGCUGGCCAGAGGAGAUGAACUGAGGAGAUUUGGGCUCUUUGGGUUUUCUGACCAAAGGAGAGAGACUGGCUUUUCCUGAUCUAGGCAGAGAGAGAAACCUUUGUGGUUUUUGACAGAGUUUGGACUUGAAUUACUCAAACAGAGAUUAUCUGACUGAAGAAGGAAGAAGAUUUAACAGUUGUCCUCCAUCUCUCUGGCUGUCUCUGAGUCACAAUUGUGACUAGACUGACAUUUCCCCAAAUCUCCUAAUUCUCCUUGUAGACUAGGGACACCCCUAUCCCACUCACCUUCAAUUUCCAUCCUGUUGUUCCCAAUAAACCCCUUUAUUUGAGAAAGAAAGAGUGAAGA
Molecule: long non-coding RNA, 728 nt
Filed under: Monodelphis domestica (gray short-tailed opossum)
Lineage: Eukaryota; Metazoa; Chordata; Mammalia; Didelphimorphia; Didelphidae
Description: lncRNA (ENSMODG00000040939.1)
Source: RNAcentral